This 887-nucleotide long non-coding RNA is filed under the name Marmota monax (woodchuck). The record is from RNAcentral. Lineage: Eukaryota; Metazoa; Chordata; Mammalia; Rodentia; Sciuridae.
CCUCCCCUCCCCUCUUCUCUCUCUACCCCCUCUACUGUCAUUCAUUUCUCCCCCUUGUAUUAUUUUCCCCUUUCCCCUCACUUCCUCUUGUAUGAAAUUUUGUAUAACCCUGAGGGUCUCCUUCCAUUUCCAUGCAAUUUCCCUUCUCUCUCCCUUUCCCUCCCACCUCUCAUCCCAGUUUAAUGUUAAUCUUGUUCUCAUGCUCUUCGUCCCUACUCUGUUCUUAGUUACACUCCUUAUAUCAAAGAAGACAUUUGGCAUUUGUUUUUUAGGGAUUGGCUAACUUCACUUAGCAUAAUCUGCUCUAAUGCCAUCCAUUUCCCUGCAAAUUCUAUGAUUAAAACACUGUUUUAGAACAUGUUUUUCAGCAUCCUUGUAGUCCAAUUUUGUUGUUGACAUUAACUUUUCCUGUGGUAAGAGAUGCUUUUGGUGCUAGUUUUUCUAUAAUCUCUAGGAGGAUUGUGGGAUAGGAAUUUCCUAAAUGAUUUUUUUUUCUUUCUGCAGAUCUCAUGUGUGAAUAUAAAUCUAGUACAUCAUUAACCUAAGGACCUUACCAAUUGGAAAUUGCAGUUUUCACCUUCAAACUACCAUAUCCUUUUUGAUUAUUCUCUUCCUAAAAAAGUGUAAACAUCUUUCAAGUUAUUUUUGUUGCAGAGCUAAACAAAUGGCUGAUAGUGACUUGAAUAAAAUAUCUAGACAAUGUCCCCACUGUUCAUCUACCCUGCAGAAUAAUGGACUUAGAUUAUGUUCUUGCACAUCAAACUAUUCUCCAGUUUUGGUGGUAGAAAUGUCACAGACAUCAAGCAUUGCCAGUUCAGAAAUCGUAGUUUCAGCAGAGAGAAAAAAAGAAAAAAGUAUCAGCAGAGAACCUUCUGGGAAAGAUUUGG